AACGAACGCUGGCGGCAUGCCUAACACAUGCAAGUCGAACGAGAUCUUCGGGUCUAGUGGCGCACGGGCGCGUAACGCGUGGGAAUCUGCCCUUUGGUUCGGAAUAACAGUUGGAAACGACUGCUAAUCCCGGAUGAUGACGAAAGUCCAAAGAUUUAUCGCCAGUGGAUGAGCCCGCGUAGGAUUAGCUAGUUGGUGUGGUAAAGGCGCACCAAGGCGACGAUCCUUAGCUGGUCUGAGAGGAUGAUCAGCCACACUGGGACUGAGACACGGCCCAGACUACUACGGGAGGCAGAAGUGGGGAAUAUUGGACAAUGGGCGAAAGCCUGAUCCAGCAAUGCCGCGUGAGUGAUGAGGGCCUUAGGGUUGUAAAGCUCUUUUACCCGGGAUGAUAAUGACAGUACCGGGAGAAUAAGCGCCGGCUAACUCCGUGCCAGCCGCGGUAAUAC
Molecule: ribosomal RNA, 449 nt
Filed under: uncultured bacterium
Lineage: Bacteria
Description: partial 16S ribosomal RNA
Rfam family: Bacterial small subunit ribosomal RNA
Source: RNAcentral